GCAGGUGUCGUAUAAUGGCUAUUACUAUAGCCUUCCAAGCUGUAGAUACGGGUUCGAUUCCCGUCACCUGCUCCA
Molecule: transfer RNA, 75 nt
Filed under: Candidatus Peregrinibacteria bacterium
Lineage: Bacteria; Candidatus Peregrinibacteriota
Also listed under: 1 other name
Description: tRNA-Gly
Rfam family: tRNA
About the family: Transfer RNA (tRNA) molecules are approximately 80 nucleotides in length. Their secondary structure includes four short double-helical elements and three loops (D, anti-codon, and T loops).
Source: RNAcentral